Molecule: long non-coding RNA, 628 nt
Organism: Solanum pennellii
Lineage: Eukaryota; Viridiplantae; Streptophyta; Magnoliopsida; Solanales; Solanaceae
Exons: 2
Source: RefSeq, a predicted model, not a curated record
CAAACUCCCAAGGAAAGAGGUAAACGAUCUCCACUAGGAGUGUACUAAAUGUGCACUCUUAAUUCAUUAUCUAUUCUAAAAACGUUUUUCAGCAUUAUUUUACAAUUCAAAAACAGAAAAAAAAUAAGCUUACUGAUUCUAAAGAUUUCUAGGCGGCAUUCAACAAAAAAAAUGAAAAGAAAAUUGUACGCCUAUGUUCUUUAAGAAAUCACGUAAAGAACUUCACCUGGGAACAAGAGUCAAAGCUCGGAAGAAAGGUUUGUGUGCGGGUGGAAACGUGUGGUUCUGGCUGGCUGUAAAGGCUGAAAAGGUGCAGGCACAGGUGGAUGUUAGAGCUUACAGUACGACGUUGUAGCUAUCUGGACUUGGAGCAUUCAUCCAAUUUUGUAGGCCCUCAUGCUUCAAGGAUGCUUGUCCAUUAUAUUCUAGUUUAGAUAUAGGUUUGAGUUAGUGGAGUAUGUUACACUAGCAUUUCUUUCUCAAGUAUUUUCAGACAUUGUAUUUGUGCCAUUCUGGCAACUUUAUAUUUUAUACAGAUAUGACUUUUUCAUUCAGUUUAGUAUAUUUGUAUUAGAUGGUUGUUGUGAAAGAUUAUGAACUGAUAUAGAUAAAUCUUAUAUGAGUAUAA